UGGCAGUGUUGCACUUUGGUUU
RNAcentral lists this microRNA (22 nucleotides) under Panagrellus redivivus. Its description in RNAcentral is "prd-miR-7891-3p". The record is from miRBase by way of RNAcentral. Lineage: Eukaryota; Metazoa; Nematoda; Chromadorea; Rhabditida; Panagrolaimidae.